This 649-nucleotide ribosomal RNA is filed under the name Escherichia coli. RNAcentral describes it as "partial 23S ribosomal RNA". It matches the Rfam family "Bacterial large subunit ribosomal RNA", at positions 1291 to 1925 of the family's 2925-position model. Lineage: Bacteria; Pseudomonadati; Pseudomonadota; Gammaproteobacteria; Enterobacterales; Enterobacteriaceae. The record is from RNAcentral.
CGAAUGCUGACAUAAGUAACGAUAAAGCGGGUGAAAAGCCCGCUCGCCGGAAGACCAAGGGUUCCUGUCCAACGUUAAUCGGGGCAGGGUGAGUCGACCCCUAAGGCGAGGCCGAAAGGCGUAGUCGAUGGGAAACAGGUUAAUAUUCCUGUACUUGGUGUUACUGCGAAGGGGGGACGGAGAAGGCUAUGUUGGCCGGGCGACGGUUGUCCCGGUUUAAGCGUGUAGGCUGGUUUUCCAGGCAAAUCCGGAAAAUCAAGGCUGAGGCGUGAUGACGAGGCACUACGGUGCUGAAGCAACAAAUGCCCUGCUUCCAGGAAAAGCCUCUAAGCAUCAGGUAACAUCAAAUCGUACCCCAAACCGACACAGGUGGUCAGGUAGAGAAUACCAAGGCGCUUGAGAGAACUCGGGUGAAGGAACUAGGCAAAAUGGUGCCGUAACUUCGGGAGAAGGCACGCUGAUAUGUAGGUGAAGUCCCUCGCGGAUGGAGCUGAAAUCAGUCGAAGAUACCAGCUGGCUGCAACUGUUUAUUAAAAACACAGCACUGUGCAAACACGAAAGUGGACGUAUACGGUGUGACGCCUGCCCGGUGCCGGAAGGUUAAUUGAUGGGGUUAGCGCAAGCGAAGCUCUUGAUCGAAGCCCCGGUA